RNAcentral lists this small RNA (350 nucleotides) under Histoplasma capsulatum. RNAcentral describes it as "hypothetical RNA". The record is from RNAcentral. Lineage: Eukaryota; Fungi; Ascomycota; Eurotiomycetes; Onygenales; Ajellomycetaceae. RNAcentral also lists the same sequence under 1 other name.
CCACCAUAUUCGCCGCAGUUGCUCUUUGCGCCGGCGUUUGUGAUGGAGCUGCUGCGGCUUGCAGAACGCAAUGGAACAAAGGCGCACCUAAGCGCGCUCUGCAAGUAUGGAGUAUCAAUUGCCCUUUAUGUUUUCGUCGGAUGCGCAUGGCCUAACUAAACCCGGCCACGUCCAUGCCAGUGGAGAACGAUAAUUCACGAGUUGGAACCUUGGCGGCGCUUUUUUUUUUUUCGUCCUUCCCCCCUCCCUGGUUAAACCCGGGCCAGGGGAAUAUGGUGAUAACAUCGCACGUACCCGACGGAGGGGCCGCGCCAACAACCAAUAGAGCCAAAAGAGAGAAAUCAAGAAGG